This is a long non-coding RNA of Pipra filicauda (Wire-tailed manakin), 610 nucleotides long. RefSeq lists it as uncharacterized. NCBI's taxonomy places the organism in Eukaryota, Metazoa, Chordata, Aves, Passeriformes, Pipridae. The transcript is spliced from 2 exons. The record is from RefSeq and is a predicted model, not a curated record.
AAUUAUAACUCCAUCAUUCAAACUGUGCUCUUUAAAGAUAUUUGAUAUAACACGUGGAGCCAACCAACUGAAAGCGGGAGAGGCAGAGACAGACCGUCAGGCUCUCAGGCCAACCACGAGUCUGCAGCCAAGAGUGGGCUAGAAUUGCUAGAUGGACCAGCAGAAACUGCCCACAUUCACGAUACAGGGGUUUUUUUCUCACUACAGAACACACACAACGCGUUCCUGCACAGGUGUUGCCUGCACAGUCAUCCUGCAGCAGUGCUGUGGAAGUUUCACUCCCUGCCUUGAGCCUCGAAUCCAAGACCUUGAUGUCCAGCAAAAUGGAACAGCAGAGUCACUGCAGACCUUUCACCAGAAGGGAAUAGGGUUUUUUCCCCUUCCAACGUUUCCAGAAGCCAUUUCCUGGCUCCCACAGAACAUGAGAUGACACCCUUGGUUCCAUCUGAGCCUGGAGAUUUUUUUUGCCCGUCAUACCCAAGUGAUCUAUUAAGAAGAACAGACUAUCUAGGAUUUUAUUCCUCAGCUCCUUCCUUUACCAGUUCUAAUCCAAGCACGGGAAACAGAAAAUACUAGAAAGAAGGGAGAAAUAAAUGGAAGCCUAAAAGCU